RNAcentral lists this ribosomal RNA (543 nucleotides) under uncultured bacterium. RNAcentral's name for it is "bacterial SSU rRNA". It matches the Rfam family "Bacterial small subunit ribosomal RNA", at positions 772 to 1314 of the family's 1533-position model. The record is from RNAcentral.
ACUCAAUAGAUACCCGGGUAGUCUAUACAGAAAACGAUGAGUGUUACUUGUUAAAAAAUAUAAUUUUUGGUGAGUUAGCUAAACGCGUUAAAACACUCCGCCUGGGAAGUACGACCGCAAGGUUGAAACUUAAAGGAAAUGGCGGGGGCUUUUACAAGCGGUGGAGCGUGUGGUUCAAUAUGAUGUCCCGCAAAAACCUUACCAGCUAAUUACAGCUAUAGAGAACUAGUUGAAAGCUUAGUUGGAGUAGUUGUGUGUUGCAUGGCUGUUAUCAGUUCGUGCCGUGAGGUGUCUGGUUAAAUUCCAGUCGGUAACAACGAACGAAACCCCCGCUUAUGGUUAUUUAAUAGAUUUUUUAUUUACUUAUGCUCCAUAGGACAGCUUACGAUAAGUCUGAUGAAGGAGGGGAGUGAUAUCAAGCGUUAUGACCUUAUCUGACUGGGCUACAAACGCGCUACAUAGGGAAUCACAGUUGGCUGCAAUAGCGUGAGCUGGAGCUAAUCCAUAAAAGUUCUCAAAGUUCAGAUUGCUUUCUGCAAUUCG